Molecule: long non-coding RNA, 1814 nt
Organism: Cucumis sativus (cucumber)
Lineage: Eukaryota; Viridiplantae; Streptophyta; Magnoliopsida; Cucurbitales; Cucurbitaceae
Exons: 2
Source: RefSeq, a predicted model, not a curated record
CUUCUUCUAUUUAUACCCUUUUUCUUCAAUCUCUUCCUUCUUCAUCCCAAACCCUAGAUUUUACUUUGAGCUAAUUUUUUCUUUAACUCCUUCAAUUUAUGGUGAACCACUAUCAGUUGAAGCUGCCAGCAUGAUCUUAACUUUUCUCUUCUUCUUCUUCUUCUUCUUCUUCUUCUUCUUCUUCUUCUGCUUCUUCUGCUUCUUUGAGGAAAGAUCAGAUCAUGCGGCAGUUUCACCUGUUGUUGCUUUGCCCUUUUACCAUCUAUCUAUCUCUAAUCCCUAAAAAUUAGCCCUAAUUUCAUUUUAUUCCUCUCCCCCACCCCCCCCCCCCCCAAAAAAAAAUAAAAAAAGAAAACCCUAAUUUUUCUCUUUCAUAUGGUUUCGUUAUUAAGGAAUUAGGGUUUGUGAUUCCUUCAAAGCUUUGAUCAAGGCGGCGGGUUUAUCUUUAAGCUCUUUCCAGCUAGGGCUGAUAUAUAUGGUUUUUUUUUUUAAUUUCUUCAAAUUUUAUUUUAUUGUCAUUAUUGGAUUUUCGUUCGGUCUCAAUUGAAUCAAGAAAGAAAGGUGUUUAUCUGAAGGGAAGAUUUUGAGUGACCCCUAAUUAUUAAGAUUGAUGGAGUUGCAAUUUGUCUGUUUCAUAUUGUUUUUUGGGAUUGAUGCCAUCAAGUAAUUUUUUUCACAUGAUUUCCAUUAUAUCUCUUUUGUUUUCAUCAAGAGAGAGAAAUAAGAAACAAAAAGAGAAAAGAGAGCAUUAACUAUCCUUCUGCAAAAAAAUGGAUGUUAAAGUCACAAUAUAACACCAGUUUUAACGGCUUUUUUUCAAAACAAAAAUCUACACCAAACUUAUAAUUAUUAUUUAGCUAAAUCCGAACAUAGCUUAGUGAAUAAAAACACUCAUUAUUAAUUCUUUGAAAAAUUGUCAGUGUGAUUUAAAAGAAACAUGCUUGUUUUCGCCUUCAAUGUAUUUUAGAAGAUAAGACAGAUGUUUGAUUGGAUUUCAUUACCAGCUUAUUAAUUAAUUAAUUACCUUAAUCCUUUUCAAUCGGUGUCCUAAUCUGUAAUUCCUUCUGUUUAUAAUUUGGGCAUUAAUUGCAUUUUUUUUGGGCUCAACCCUUUUGAACAGUGCUUUUUAAAAAAAAAUAUCUAGAUUAACCCAAUCUUAUUAUGAAUAAACAACUACUAAUUAAUGUACUUACUUCCUUAAUUAUUUUGCAUUAGAUACAUUUUAUUUGAAAUUCUUUGAAUAUUACUAAGAAUUUGAAAACCUCCAACUUCCUUUAACUCUCUAUCGCUCAAUCUUAUUUUUGGUAGGAAUCUGUCAUAACCUUCAACAAGUUUUUUUUUGUUGGUCCAUGCACAGAACUUUCAUAUUUCCAUUAAAAGCCACAUAACUACAAAACAACUUUAACACUUAAUAAUAAUAAUAAUAUUGAAGAAGAUGGAAGAUAGUUAUAUAUAGUGAUCAUGUGGAAGGGAAGAAAAGGUUUUUUACAUUCCAUUUUCAGGCUGCCUAGGAAAAGUAGCCCUCUGAAGAAAAGAAUACCCAAAUCAGCUUCAGAAAAAAUCACUUAUUUUCCUUUCCCAUAAGGUUUUUUUCGUAUCCUUUUUUUUCUCUCUGGGGUUUUCACAAAAUAAAGAGCGUUAUUGACUGAUGAAUAGUGUGUGAGCAGGGCAAGAAUCCUUUUCUUCUACCAGUUUGAUACUGUUUAUGGAAUACCAUGAUUCAUAAUGUAUAUGUAUGAUAUUAAAUUUUGAUAUUGACAUGAAUAUAAAUAUUUUUAUUAUAUUGUAAAAAUAAAAUGUAAUUUUAAAGUUUA